Molecule: ribosomal RNA, 510 nt
Filed under: uncultured bacterium
Lineage: Bacteria
Description: partial 16S ribosomal RNA
Rfam family: Bacterial small subunit ribosomal RNA
Source: RNAcentral
GACGAACGCUGGCGGCGUGCUUAACACAUGCAAGUCGAACGAAGAGCGAUGGAAGCUUGCUUCUAUCAAUCUUAGUGGCGAACGGGUGAGUAACGCGUAAUCAACCUGCCCUUCAGAGGGGGACAACAGUUGGAAACGCCUGCUAAUACCGCAUACGAUCUAAUCUCGGCAUCGAGGAUAGAUGAAAGGUGGCCUCUACAUGUAAGCUAUCACUGAAGGAGGGGAUUGCGGCUGAUUAGCUAGUUGGAGGGGUAACGGCCCACCAAGGCGAUGAUCAGUAGCCGGUCUGAGAGGAUGAACGGCCACAUUGGGACUGAGACACGGCCCAGACUCCUACGGGAGGCAGCAGUGGGGAAUCUUCCGCAAUGGACGAAAGUCUGACGGAGCAACGCCGCGUGAGUGAUGACGGCCUUCGGGUUGUAAAGCUCUGUUAAUCGGGACGAAAGGCCUUCUUGCGAAUAGUGAGAAGGAUUGACGGUACCGGAAUAGAAAGCCACGGCUAACUACGUG